RNAcentral lists this ribosomal RNA (303 nucleotides) under uncultured bacterium. RNAcentral describes it as "partial 16S ribosomal RNA". It matches the Rfam family "Bacterial small subunit ribosomal RNA", at positions 507 to 807 of the family's 1533-position model. The record is from RNAcentral.
AGCAGUAGCCACGGUAAUACAGAGGAUGCAAGCGUUAUCCGGAAUGAUUGGGCGUAAAGCGUCUGUAGGUGGCUUUUCAAGUCCGCCGUCAAAUCCCAGGGCUCAACCCUGGACAGGCGGUGGAAACUACCAAGCUGGAGUACGGUAGGGGCAGAGGGACUUUCCGGUGGAGCGGUGAAAUGCGUUGAGAUCGGAAAGAACACCAACGGCGAAAGCACUCCGCUGGGCCGACACUGACGCUGAGAGACGAAAGCUAGGGGAGCAAAUGGGAUUAGAUACCCCGGUAGUCCCUGUCUCUUAUAC